CCUACGGGAGGCAGCAGUGGGGGAUAUUGCACAAUGGGGGAAACCCUGAUGCAGCGACGCCGCGUGAGUGAAGAAGUAUUUCGGUAUGUAAAGCUCUAUCAGCAGGGAAGAAAAUGACUGUACCUGUCCACUAAGCCCCGGCUAACUCCGUUCCAGCCGCCGCGGUACUACGUAGGGGGCAAGCGUUACCCGGAUUUCCUGGGUGUAAAGGUAGCGUAGACGGUUAUGUAAGUCUGGAGUGAAAGCCCGGGGCCCAACCCCGGGACUGCUUUGGAAACUGUGUAACUGGAGUACAGGAGGGGCAGGCGGAAUUCCUGGUGUAGCGGUGAAAUGCGGAGAUAUCAGGAGGAACACCGGCGGCGAAGGCGGCCUGCUGGACUGAAACUGACGUUGAGGCUCGAAAGCGUGGGGAGCAAACAGGAUUAGAUACCCCUGUAGUC
Molecule: ribosomal RNA, 440 nt
Filed under: uncultured bacterium
Lineage: Bacteria
Description: partial 16S ribosomal RNA
Rfam family: Bacterial small subunit ribosomal RNA
Source: RNAcentral